RNAcentral lists this small nucleolar RNA (119 nucleotides) under Drosophila yakuba. RNAcentral's name for it is "snoRNA:GE27233". The record is from RNAcentral. Lineage: Eukaryota; Metazoa; Arthropoda; Insecta; Diptera; Drosophilidae.
UCGUGGAUGAUGAUUCAUGACCACCAAGUGCCACCUCCAAGCCGCUAAUUGGUGAUGCAAACCGAGUUUAUUUUAGCACACUCAAGUUUUCUGCUGUCGUUCGAGGAUUCACUGGAAAU